UCAUCCACUGUAACUCCAGGUCUUUUUCUGCAGAAUUGCUGUUGAGCCAUUCGGUACCUAGUCUGUAGGGGUGCAUGGGAUUCUUCCGUCCGAAGUGCAGGACUCUGCACUUGUCCUUGUUGAACCUCAUCAGAUUUCUUUUGGCCAAAUUCUUUAAUUUGCAUAUGAUAUAUAAAU
This is a long non-coding RNA of Dermochelys coriacea (leatherback sea turtle), 177 nucleotides long. RefSeq lists it as uncharacterized. The record is from RefSeq and is a predicted model, not a curated record. NCBI's taxonomy places the organism in Eukaryota, Metazoa, Chordata, Testudines, Dermochelyidae. The transcript is spliced from 3 exons.